Microcebus murinus (gray mouse lemur) is the source of this 111-nucleotide small nuclear RNA. NCBI's taxonomy places the organism in Eukaryota, Metazoa, Chordata, Mammalia, Primates, Cheirogaleidae. The record is from Ensembl.
GUGCUCGCCUGGGCAGCACAUACGCUGAAACUGGCACACGAGCGAGAAGAUUAGCCCGGCUCCUGUGCAAGGAUGGCAUGCACGCAAAUUCGUGAAGCUUUGCAGAUUUUU